This 256-nucleotide ribosomal RNA is filed under the name uncultured bacterium. RNAcentral describes it as "partial 16S ribosomal RNA". It matches the Rfam family "Bacterial small subunit ribosomal RNA", at positions 226 to 494 of the family's 1533-position model. The record is from RNAcentral.
UGGACUCGCGGCUUAUCAGCUUGUUGGUGGGGUAGUGGCUUACCAAGGCUUUGACGGGUAGCCGGCCUGAGAGGGUGACCGGCCACAUUGGGACUAAGAUACGGCCCAGACUCCUACGGGAGGCAGCAGUGGGGNAUAUUGCACAAUGGGCGGAAGCCUGAUGCAGCAACGCCGCGUGCGGGAUGACGGCCUUCGGGUUGUAAACCNGUUUCGCCUGUGACGAAGCGUGAGUGACGGUAAUGGGUAAAGAAGCACC